RNAcentral lists this ribosomal RNA (1553 nucleotides) under Staphylococcus aureus. Its description in RNAcentral is "16S ribosomal RNA". It matches the Rfam family "Bacterial small subunit ribosomal RNA". The record is from RNAcentral. Lineage: Bacteria; Bacillati; Bacillota; Bacilli; Caryophanales; Staphylococcaceae.
UUUAUGGAGAGUUUGAUCCUGGCUCAGGAUGAACGCUGGCGGCGUGCCUAAUACAUGCAAGUCGAGCGAACGGACGAGAAGCUUGCUUCUCUGAUGUUAGCGGCGGACGGGUGAGUAACACGUGGAUAACCUACCUAUAAGACUGGGAUAACUUCGGGAAACCGGAGCUAAUACCGGAUAAUAUUUUGAACCGCAUGGUUCAAAAGUGAAAGACGGUCUUGCUGUCACUUAUGAGAUGGAUCCGCGCUGCAUUAGCUAGUUGGUAAGGUAACGGCUUACCAAGGCAACGAUGCAUAGCCGACCUGAGAGGGUGAUCGGCCACACUGGAACUGAGACACGGUCCAGACUCCUACGGGAGGCAGCAGUAGGGAAUCUUCCGCAAUGGGCGAAAGCCUGACGGAGCAACGCCGCGUGAGUGAUGAAGGUCUUCGGAUCGUAAAACUCUGUUAUUAGGGAAGAACAUAUGUGUAAGUAACUGUGCACAUCUUGACGGUACCUAAUCAGAAAGCCACGGCUAACUACGUGCCAGCAGCCGCGGUAAUACGUAGGUGGCAAGCGUUAUCCGGAAUUAUUGGGCGUAAAGCGCGCGUAGGCGGUUUUUUAAGUCUGAUGUGAAAGCCCACGGCUCAACCGUGGAGGGUCAUUGGAAACUGGAAAACUUGAGUGCAGAAGAGGAAAGUGGAAUUCCAUGUGUAGCGGUGAAAUGCGCAGAGAUAUGGAGGAACACCAGUGGCGAAGGCGACUUUCUGGUCUGUAACUGACGCUGAUGUGCGAAAGCGUGGGGAUCAAACAGGAUUAGAUACCCUGGUAGUCCACGCCGUAAACGAUGAGUGCUAAGUGUUAGGGGGUUUCCGCCCCUUAGUGCUGCAGCUAACGCAUUAAGCACUCCGCCUGGGGAGUACGACCGCAAGGUUGAAACUCAAAGGAAUUGACGGGGACCCGCACAAGCGGUGGAGCAUGUGGUUUAAUUCGAAGCAACGCGAAGAACCUUACCAAAUCUUGACAUCCUUUGACAACUCUAGAGAUAGAGCCUUCCCCUUCGGGGGACAAAGUGACAGGUGGUGCAUGGUUGUCGUCAGCUCGUGUCGUGAGAUGUUGGGUUAAGUCCCGCAACGAGCGCAACCCUUAAGCUUAGUUGCCAUCAUUAAGUUGGGCACUCUAAGUUGACUGCCGGUGACAAACCGGAGGAAGGUGGGGAUGACGUCAAAUCAUCAUGCCCCUUAUGAUUUGGGCUACACACGUGCUACAAUGGACAAUACAAAGGGCAGCGAAACCGCGAGGUCAAGCAAAUCCCAUAAAGUUGUUCUCAGUUCGGAUUGUAGUCUGCAACUCGACUACAUGAAGCUGGAAUCGCUAGUAAUCGUAGAUCAGCAUGCUACGGUGAAUACGUUCCCGGGUCUUGUACACACCGCCCGUCACACCACGAGAGUUUGUAACACCCGAAGCCGGUGGAGUAACCUUUUAGGAGCUAGCCGUCGAAGGUGGGACAAAUGAUUGGGGUGAAGUCGUAACAAGGUAGCCGUAUCGGAAGGUGCGGCUGGAUCACCUCCUUU